AUUGAACGCUGGCGGCAUGCCUUACACAUGCAAGUCGAACGGCAGCACGGGUGCUUGCCCCUAGUGGCGAGUGGCGAACGGGUGAGUAAUACAUCGGAACAUGUCCUGUAGUGGGGGAUAGCCCGGCGAAAGCCGGAUUAAUACCGCAUACGAUCCACGGAUGAAAGCGGGGGACCUUCGGGCCUCGCGCUAUAGGGUUGGCCGAUGGCUGAUUAGCUAGUUGGUGGGGUAAAGGCCUACCAAGGCGACGAUCAGUAGCUGGUCUGAGAGGACGACCAGCCACACUGGGACUGAGACACGGCCCAGACUCCUACGGGAGGCAGCAGUGGGGAAUUUUGGACAAUGGGCGAAAGCCUGAUCCAGCAAUGCCGCGUGUGUGAAGAAGGCCUUCGGGUUGUAAAGCACUUUUGUCCGGAAAGAAAUCCUUGACUCUAAUACAGUCGGGGGAUGACGGUACCGGAAGAAUAAGCACCGGCUAACUACGUG
Molecule: ribosomal RNA, 486 nt
Filed under: uncultured bacterium
Lineage: Bacteria
Description: partial 16S ribosomal RNA
Rfam family: Bacterial small subunit ribosomal RNA
Source: RNAcentral